Molecule: ribosomal RNA, 396 nt
Filed under: uncultured bacterium
Lineage: Bacteria
Description: bacterial SSU rRNA
Rfam family: Bacterial small subunit ribosomal RNA
Source: RNAcentral
AUUGAACGCUGGCGGCGUGCUUAACACAUGCAAGUCGAUCGGUAACAGGUGUAGCAAUACAUGCUGACGAGAGGCGGACGGGUGAGUAAUGCUUGGGAAUCUGCCUAUUAGUGGGGGACAACCCGGGGAAACUCGGGCUAAUACCGCAUACGCUCUACGGAGGAAAGCCGGGGACCGCAAGGCCUGGCGCUAAUAGAUGAGCCCAAGUCGGAUUAGCUAGUUGGUAGGGUAACGGCCUACCAAGGCGACAAUCCGUAGCUGGUCUGAGAGGACGACCAGCCACACCGGAACUGAGACACGGUCCGGACUCCUACGGGAGGCAGCAGUGGGGAAUAUUGGACAAUGGGGGCAACCCUGAUCCAGCGACGCCGCGUGGGUGAAGAAGGCCUGCGGGUU